Oncorhynchus tshawytscha (Chinook salmon) is the source of this 448-nucleotide long non-coding RNA. The record is from Ensembl. Lineage: Eukaryota; Metazoa; Chordata; Actinopteri; Salmoniformes; Salmonidae.
GGCUCUGCUGCGAAAGCUAUUCUCAACUUCUCUGCUCACUGAAAUCCGUUCACCGCCUCUCAUUGACGAAUUGCCGGAGGGUAGUUUGGCUCGACACCGGUUGUUAUCCACUGCUAAAUGUUUUUCACUCAAAAACCUCGGAGUAUCAAAACAAUUAUACUAGACGCAACUUCCACCAACCACGGAACCAGGAGGAGAAGGCAACAGGUCCAAGAAAACCUGUGACAUUCAGCGCAAGAUGCAUUGGAGGCUUAGUUGCCGAGUGGGGAAAUUUGGUGUGUCUGAGGAUUUUCCCACCCUGUCACCUCUCCUCAUGGAUGAUUUCUCUUGCGUGAGCGUGUCCCUCUCCAUUGUCCUAGUGUUCAUGGGUCCCAUAUUGCACAACAGCGUCUGUUCAUCCUCAGUUGGCCCCUAGCCUUCACUACCCACUCGCUCUGCUCUACUCGUC